GGUCUCGUAGCCUAGCCUGGAUAGGGCGACAGCCUUCUAAGCUGUAGGUCGUGGGUUCAAAUCCCACCGGGACCG
Molecule: transfer RNA, 75 nt
Filed under: Candidatus Woesearchaeota archaeon
Lineage: Archaea; Nanobdellati; Candidatus Woesearchaeota
Description: tRNA-Arg
Rfam family: tRNA
About the family: Transfer RNA (tRNA) molecules are approximately 80 nucleotides in length. Their secondary structure includes four short double-helical elements and three loops (D, anti-codon, and T loops).
Source: RNAcentral